UACGUAGGGUGCAAGCGUUGUUCGGAAUCAUUGGGCGUAAAGCGUACGUAGGCGGGUCGGUAAGUCAAGUGUGAAAUCCCUGAGCUUAACUCGGGAAUUGCAUUCGAUACUGCCGAUCUUGAAUGCUUGAGAGGGUGGUGGAAUUCCAGGUGUAGAAGUGAAAUUCGUAGAUAUCUGGAGGAACAUCCGAGGCGAAGGCGGCCACCUGGCAAGACAUUGACGCUGAGGUACGAAAGCGUGGGGAUCAAACAGGAUUAGAUACCCUGGUAGUCCACGCCGUAAACGAUGGAUACUAGAUGUUCGGAGAGUUAACCCUCUGAGUAUCGAAGCUCACGCAUUAAGUAUCCCGCCUGGGGAGUACGGUCGCAAGGCUA
This 374-nucleotide ribosomal RNA is filed under the name uncultured prokaryote. RNAcentral describes it as "bacterial SSU rRNA". It matches the Rfam family "Bacterial small subunit ribosomal RNA", at positions 524 to 896 of the family's 1533-position model. The record is from RNAcentral.